RNAcentral lists this ribosomal RNA (437 nucleotides) under uncultured Oscillospiraceae bacterium. RNAcentral's name for it is "partial 16S ribosomal RNA". It matches the Rfam family "Bacterial small subunit ribosomal RNA", at positions 341 to 792 of the family's 1533-position model. The record is from RNAcentral. Lineage: Bacteria; Bacillati; Bacillota; Clostridia; Eubacteriales; Oscillospiraceae.
ACGGAAGGCAGCAGUGGGGAAUAUUGGGCAAUGGGCGAAAGCCUGACCCAGCAACGCCGCGUGAAGGAAGAAGGUCUUCGGAUUGUAAACUUCUUUUAUGAGGGACGAAGGAAGUGACGGUACCUCAUGAAUAAGCCACGGCUAACUACGUGCCAGCAGCCGCGGUAAUACGUAGGUGGCAAGCGUUAUCCGGAUUUACUGGGUGUAAAGGGCGCGUAGGCGGGGAUGCAAGUCAGGUGUGAAAUCUAUGGACUUAACUCAUAAACUGCACUUGAAACUGUAUCUCUUGAGUGCUGGAGAGGUAGACGGAAUUCCUUGUGUAGCGGUGAAAUGCGUAGAUAUAAGGAAGAACACCAGUGGCGAAGGCGGUCUACUGGACAGUAACUGACGCUGAGGCGCGAAAGCGUGGGGAGCAAACAGGAUUAGAUACCCUGGUA